UGGGGGAUCGUCUAACGGCAGGACAGCAGGCUCUGACCCUGCGAAUCUAGGUUCGAAUCCUAGUCCCCCAACCA
Molecule: transfer RNA, 74 nt
Filed under: Deltaproteobacteria bacterium
Lineage: Bacteria; Pseudomonadati; Myxococcota; Myxococcia
Description: tRNA-Gln
Rfam family: tRNA
About the family: Transfer RNA (tRNA) molecules are approximately 80 nucleotides in length. Their secondary structure includes four short double-helical elements and three loops (D, anti-codon, and T loops). Further hydrogen bonds mediate the characteristic L-shaped molecular structure. tRNAs have two regions of fundamental functional importance: the anti-codon, which is responsible for specific mRNA codon recognition, and the 3' end, to which the tRNAs corresponding amino acid is attached (by aminoacyl-tRNA synthetases). tRNAs cope with the degeneracy of the genetic code in two manners: having more than one tRNA (with a specific anti-codon) for a particular amino acid; and 'wobble' base-pairing, i.e. permitting non-standard base-pairing at the 3rd anti-codon position.
Source: RNAcentral